CGAGCGGUCGUUGCAUCUGACGUCACUGCUCGGUCUGCACGGUGGCCAGUCGGUUGUGCGCUACCCUGUAGAUCCGCGCCGUGAAAAAAAUGUAUCAACCCGCA
RNAcentral lists this microRNA precursor (104 nucleotides) under Manduca sexta (tobacco hornworm). RNAcentral describes it as "microRNA mse-mir-10b precursor (mse-mir-10b-2)". Its record names the gene mse-mir-10b-2. The record is from miRBase by way of RNAcentral. Lineage: Eukaryota; Metazoa; Arthropoda; Insecta; Lepidoptera; Sphingidae.